UAAUUAAAAGCUUAGGUUAAACCAAACCAGGGGCCUUCAAAGCCCCAAACAAGGGCACCCAUUCCCUUAGCUUUUG
This 76-nucleotide transfer RNA is filed under the name Trachylepis albilabris (Guinea mabuya). RNAcentral describes it as "tRNA-Trp". The record is from RNAcentral. Lineage: Eukaryota; Metazoa; Chordata; Lepidosauria; Squamata; Scincidae.